RNAcentral lists this ribosomal RNA (507 nucleotides) under uncultured bacterium. Its description in RNAcentral is "bacterial SSU rRNA". It matches the Rfam family "Bacterial small subunit ribosomal RNA", at positions 8 to 507 of the family's 1533-position model. The record is from RNAcentral.
AGAGUUUGAUCCUGGCUCAGAUUGAACGCUGGCGGCAUGCUUUACACAUGCAAGUCGAGCGGCAGCGCGGGGGCAACCCUGGCGGACGAGCGGCGGACGGGUGAGUAAUGCAUCGGAACGUAUCCCGUAGUGGGGGACAACCCAGCGAAAGCUGGGCUAAUACCGCAUAUGCUCUACGGAGGAAAGCAGGGGACUCGCAAGAGCCUUGUGCUAUGGGAGCGGCCGAUGUCCGAUUAGCUAGUUGGUGGGGUAAAGGCUUACCAAGGCGACGAUCGGUAGCUGGUCUGAGAGGAUGAUCAGCCACACUGGGACUGAGACACGGCCCAGACUCCUACGGGAGGCAGCAGUGGGGAAUUUUGGACAAUGGGGGCAACCCUGAUCCAGCCAUGCCGCGUGCGGGAAGAAGGCCUUCGGGUUGUAAACCGCUUUUGGUCGGGAAGAAAAGGUUCUCCCUAAUACGGAGGACUGUUGACGGUACCGGCAGAAUAAGCACCGGCUAACUACGUG